Molecule: ribosomal RNA, 254 nt
Filed under: uncultured bacterium
Lineage: Bacteria
Description: partial 16S ribosomal RNA
Rfam family: Bacterial small subunit ribosomal RNA
Source: RNAcentral
UACGAAGGGGGCGAGCGUUGUCCGAAGUUACUGGGCGUAAAGCGCGCGUAGGCGGUCUCUUAAGUCCGGGGUGAAAGGUUCAGCGCUCAACGCGAACAGUGCCCUGGAGACUGGGGGACUUGAGUGUGGGAGGGGGCAGUGGAAUUCCGGGUGUAGCGGUGAAAUGCGUAGAUAUCCGGAGGAACACCGAUGGCGAAGGCAGCCAUCUGGACCGACACUGACGCUGAGGCGCGAAAGCGUGGGGAGCGAACAGG